RNAcentral lists this ribosomal RNA (400 nucleotides) under Campylobacter concisus. RNAcentral describes it as "bacterial SSU rRNA". It matches the Rfam family "Bacterial small subunit ribosomal RNA", at positions 29 to 430 of the family's 1533-position model. The record is from RNAcentral. Lineage: Bacteria; Pseudomonadati; Campylobacterota; Epsilonproteobacteria; Campylobacterales; Campylobacteraceae.
AGUGAACGCUGGCGGCGUGCCUAAUACAUGCAAGUCGAACGGACAAGUAAGAGCUUGCUCUUAUGAGUUAGUGGCGCACGGGUGAGUAAUGUAUAGCUAAUCUGCCCUACACUAGAGGACAACAGUUGGAAACGACUGCUAAUACUCUAUACUCCUCUCUAGCAUAAGUUAGAUAGGGAAAGUUCUUCGGUGUAGGAUGAGGCUAUAUUGUAUCAGCUAGUUGGUGAGGUAAUGGCUCACCAAGGCUAUGACGCAUAACUGGUCUGAGAGGAUGAUCAGUCACCUGGAACUGAGACACGGUCCAGACUCCUACGGAGGCAGCAGUAGGGAAUAUUGCUCAAUGGGGGAACCCUGAAGCAGCAACGCCGCGUGGAGGAUGACACUUUUCGGAGCAGUAAAC